This 197-nucleotide ribosomal RNA is filed under the name uncultured bacterium. RNAcentral describes it as "partial 16S ribosomal RNA". It matches the Rfam family "Bacterial small subunit ribosomal RNA", at positions 328 to 539 of the family's 1533-position model. The record is from RNAcentral.
ACGCUCGACACCUUGGGAGGCAGCAGUGGGGAAUAUUGCACAAUGGGGGAAACCCUGAUGCAGCGACGCCGCGUGAAGGAUGAAGUAUUUCGGUAUGUAAACUUCUAUCAGCAGGGAAGAAAGUGACGGUACCUGACUAAGAAGCCCCGGCUAACUACGUGUCAGCAGCCGCGGUAAUCUGAGCGGGCUGGCAAGGC